GGCAGCUGCCCCACGCGGGACGCCUCUGCCCCGCGGCCCACACUGUGAACGACGGGUGCGGCGAGUGCCAUCCCCAACGGUGGAGAGACGGGCACCGCUCACUGACCCCGCAGCGAGGCACGGCCAGGUAAGGGCUCGGGAAGCAGCCAGCACGCCGAGCAGCCGUCGCACGCGCCGUGCCUGCGGAGAAUACGUUACAGCGCUCCGCCUUCGCUGAACCUCCGGUACCAACCAGGCAGAUUCACCCCCACCCUCAAACACGAUCCCGCAGGACACCGCAACUCACGCAGCCUGAAAAGCCUAAACUGAAGAGGCGGGGCGGGAGCGAUCCCGCGAGAAGACCGGAGGUGGCGAGACCGCGUCUCUUCGUAUCGCGAGGCUUGCGCUACUUCUCGCGAGAGCUACCGGAAGUCUUGGCCGCCGGCUGCCAGCGUCGGGCCUUAGGUAGCAGCCACCUGCCUACACUGCGAGUAAUGAAGACUCAACAGAACCCAAAGCAAGAUGAAGUUCCUUCUGUAUAUCAUCUUUGCUGUUAGCUGGAAUUUUAUUGUAACAAGUUAAUGAAAUGUGUGUGGUGGUUUAUGAGCCAGUGGUAACAGAAGAAUAGCAGGCAUGAAAGCACUGACAGAGUUGCUUCAACAAUAAACUACAUAAAUUUUGGAUACCGCAUAUGUUGGGGUAGGUUGUUCAAAAAUAUAGUACCA
Molecule: long non-coding RNA, 704 nt
Filed under: Gallus gallus (chicken)
Lineage: Eukaryota; Metazoa; Chordata; Aves; Galliformes; Phasianidae
Description: long non-coding RNA NONGGAT011880
Source: RNAcentral